GAUGAAGAACGUAGCGAAAUGCGAUAAGUAAUGUGAAUUGCAGAAUUCAGUGAAUCAUCGAAUCUUUGAACGCACCUUGCGCCCUUUGGCCAUUCCGAAGGGCAUGCCUGUUUGAGUAUCAUGAACACCUCAACUCUUUAUGGUUUUCCAUGAUGAGCUUGGACUUUGGGGGUUUUGCUGGCCUAUGGUCGGCUCCUCUAAAAUAAAUCAGCUUACCGGUGUUUGGUGGGUAUCAUGGGUGUGAUAACUAUCUACGCUUGUGGUUUUUCCACCAGGUAACCUUCGACAGCGGAGGUUCACUGGAGCUCAUAGAUGUCUCUCCUCAGCGAGGACAGCCCUUUGAAUGUUUGAUCUCAAAUCAGGUAGGACUACCCGCUGAACUUAAGCAUAUCAAUAAGCGGAGUA
Molecule: unclassified non-coding RNA, 405 nt
Filed under: soil metagenome
Description: partial contains 5.8S ribosomal RNA, internal transcribed spacer 2, and large subunit ribosomal RNA
Rfam family: 5.8S ribosomal RNA (bases 1-121)
Source: RNAcentral